GUUUGUUUAUUUGCUUGAUAGUGGCUGUCAAACAGCCUGCAUCUCAUCUUAUUCAACUGCGCAGUUCCCGUGUGCCAUGGUAUAAAAGUCAGACAUCGGAGUCUGUAGUUCAGGUGUUUGCGCUGCCAUCCAACCGUCGCCUUGUCUCCUGAGCCACAGCUUCCACUACACUUGUCCAUCACAGGAACUGUUUGUACGAGGGAACUUCUCGCCAUGACCAACAAACACAUCAUCUUCGGCCUGGCGGUCAUCGUCAUGUUGGCUGUUACUGUCGUUGCAGACGACGAACCCGAUGAUGACGACCAUGUUAACUCUGGCAAUAUCUGCUUUCUGUUCUUUGAUUGGUACAAUAGAAAUUGCUUCGUGUUACCAAUCUCAUCGCUGUGUCUUGAAACUGCGGACUACCUAAGACGAGUUUGUCGCUUUCCAGUUCCACCAGCCACCGGCUAAACUACAACAGCAACUGAUGUGAGUCACUCUGAUAAAGCACUAUUUACGCUGACACGGAGUUCAACACCAAAAUUUCCAAUCAUCUUUUUUUCGACUGGAUAUUCUUAGGAUAGAAAAGGACUGUGUAGAAUGUACCCGGGAUACUGCUAACAACAAAUUGAUGUAAAUGUAUUGAGUAUUAAACGAUUUCCUGAUCACAAA
Long non-coding RNA from Pomacea canaliculata, 651 nucleotides. RefSeq lists it as uncharacterized. Lineage: Eukaryota; Metazoa; Mollusca; Gastropoda; Architaenioglossa; Ampullariidae. The record is from RefSeq and is a predicted model, not a curated record. The transcript is spliced from 4 exons.